This 900-nucleotide ribosomal RNA is filed under the name uncultured bacterium. RNAcentral describes it as "bacterial SSU rRNA". It matches the Rfam family "Bacterial small subunit ribosomal RNA", at positions 33 to 925 of the family's 1533-position model. The record is from RNAcentral.
ACGCUGGCGGCGUGCUUAACACAUGCAAGUCGAACGCUGAAGGCCUGGCUUUUGUUGGGUUGGAUGAGUGGCGAACGGGUGAGUAACACGUGAGUAACCUGCCCUCUUCUUUGGGAUAACGCCCGGAAACGGGUGCUAAUACUGGAUAUUCACUGAUCUUCGCAUGGGGGUUGGUGGAAAGGUUUGUUCUGGUGGGGGAUGGGCUCGCGGCCUAUCAGCUUGUUGGUGGGGUGAUGGCCUACCAAGGCUUUGACGGGUAGCCGGCCUGAGAGGGUGACCGGUCACAUUGGGACUGAGAUACGGCCCAGACUCCUACGGGAGGCAGCAGUGGGGAAUAUUGCACAAUGGGCGAAAGCCUGAUGCAGCGACGCCGCGUGAGGGAUGGAGGCCUUCGGGUUGUAAACCUCUUUCGCUCAUGGUCAAGCCGCAACUGUGGGUUGUGGUGAGGGUAGUGGGUAAAGAAGCGCCGGCUAACUACGUGCCAGCAGCCGCGGUAAUACGUAGGGCGCGAGCGUUGUCCGGAAUUAUUGGGCGUAAAGGGCUUGUAGGCGGUUGGUCGCGUCUGCCGUGAAAUUCUCUGGCUUAACUGGGGGCGUGCGGUGGGUACGGGCUGACUUGAGUGCGGUAGGGGAGACUGGAACUCCUGGUGUAGCGGUGGAAUGCGCAGAUAUCAGGAAGAACACCGGUGGCGAAGGCGGGUCUCUGGGCCGUUACUGACGCUGAGGAGCGAAAGCGUGGGGAGCGAACAGGAUUAGAUACCCUGGUAGUCCCCGCUGUAGACGUUGGGCACUAGGUGUGGGGGCCACCCGUGGUUUCUGCGCCGUAGCUAACGCUUUAAGUGCCCCGCCUGGGGAGUACGGCCGCAAGGCUAAAACUCAAAGGAAUUGACGGGGGCCCGCA